This 164-nucleotide ribosomal RNA is filed under the name uncultured bacterium. RNAcentral's name for it is "partial 16S rRNA". It matches the Rfam family "Bacterial small subunit ribosomal RNA", at positions 355 to 511 of the family's 1533-position model. The record is from RNAcentral.
UAGGGAAUCUUCCACAAUGGACGCAAGUCUGAUGGAGCAACGCCGCGUGAGUGAAGAAGGUCUUCGUAUCGUAAAACUCUGUUGUUAGAGAAGAACACGAGUGAGAGUAACUGUUCAUUCGAUGACGGUAUCUAACCAGCAAGUCACGGCUAACUACGUGCCAG